GUCCUGGGUAGCUCAGCUGGUCAGAGCAUGGUGCUGAUAACACCAAGGUUGCAGGUUCAAGCCCCAUGUGGGACA
Podarcis lilfordi (Lilford's wall lizard) is the source of this 75-nucleotide non-coding RNA. The record is from the annotation of a GenBank genome assembly. NCBI's taxonomy places the organism in Eukaryota, Metazoa, Chordata, Lepidosauria, Squamata, Lacertidae.